UCCCCGGUGGCUCAGAUGGUAAAGAAUCUGCCUGCAAUUCAGGAGACCCAGGUUCGAUCCCUGGUUUGGGAA
This 72-nucleotide transfer RNA is filed under the name Bos taurus (domestic cattle). It matches the Rfam family "tRNA". Rfam says of the family: Transfer RNA (tRNA) molecules are approximately 80 nucleotides in length. The record is from Rfam by way of RNAcentral. Lineage: Eukaryota; Metazoa; Chordata; Mammalia; Artiodactyla; Bovidae. RNAcentral also lists the same sequence under 3 other names.